Molecule: ribosomal RNA, 508 nt
Filed under: uncultured bacterium
Lineage: Bacteria
Description: partial 16S ribosomal RNA
Rfam family: Bacterial small subunit ribosomal RNA
Source: RNAcentral
GACGAACGCUGGCGGCGUGCCUAAUACAUGCAAGUCGAACGCUUCUUUCCUCCCGAGUGCUUGCACUCAAUUGGAAAGAGGAGUGGCGGACGGGUGAGUAACACGUGGGUAACCUACCCAUCAGAGGGGGAUAACACUUGGAAACAGGUGCUAAUACCGCAUAACAGUUUAUGCCGCAUGGCAUAAGAGUGAAAGGCGCUUUCGGGUGUCGCUGAUGGAUGGACCCGCGGUGCAUUAGCUAGUUGGUGAGGUAACGGCUCACCAAGGCCACGAUGCAUAGCCGACCUGAGAGGGUGAUCGGCCACACUGUGACGGAGCCACGGCCCAGACUCCUACGGGAGGCAGCAGUAGGGAAUCUUCGGCAAUGGACGAAAGUCUGACCGAGCAACGCCGCGUGAGUGAAGAAGGUUUUCGGAUCGUAAAACUCUGUUGUUAGGGAAGAACAAGGACGUUAGUAACUGAACGUCCCCUGACGGUAUCUAACCAGAAAGACACGGCUAACUACGUG